CAGUAGCGUAUAUUAAAGCUGUUGCGGUUAAAAAGCUCGUAGUUGGAUUUCUGUCAAGGACAACUGGUCCGCCCCUCGGGUGAGCACAUAGUUUGGUCUUGGCAUCUUGUUGGAAACUGUUGCUGCACUUGGUUGUGUGGCGCAGUGUCCAGCACUUUCACUUUGAGGAAAUUGGAGUGUUUCAAGCAGGCACAUGCCUUUGGACACAGUAGCAUGGAAUAAUUAGAUUGGGCUUUUGCUCCAACUUGUCGGUUUCUGGAGCUGAGGUGAGAAUUAAUGGGGAUUGUUGGGGGCAUCCGAAUUUAGCCGUCAGAGGUGAAAUUCUUGGAUCUGCUAAAGACGGACAACUGCGAAAGCGUUUGCCCAGGAUGUUUUCAUUGA
This 381-nucleotide ribosomal RNA is filed under the name uncultured eukaryote. RNAcentral describes it as "partial 18S ribosomal RNA". It matches the Rfam family "Eukaryotic small subunit ribosomal RNA", at positions 592 to 976 of the family's 1831-position model. The record is from RNAcentral.